This 156-nucleotide non-coding RNA is filed under the name Hyphomicrobiales bacterium. Its description in RNAcentral is "Rhizobiales bacterium 6S RNA". It matches the Rfam family "6S / SsrS RNA". From Rfam's summary of the family: E. coli 6S RNA was the first non coding RNA to be sequenced, but its function was unknown until recently. Lineage: Bacteria; Pseudomonadati; Pseudomonadota; Alphaproteobacteria; Hyphomicrobiales. The record is from RNAcentral.
CCCCGGCUGCCCGGCGCGUGCGGACCAUCACAUCCCCGGGGCCUUAUCGAUCCUAAAGGGAGCUGUCCCCGUCCGGACCCGUGGGUUCGGACACACGGCGCCCACCUACGUGAGUAGGUUCCCGGGAUCGAAUGUCCCACGGCCAGGGCGGCGUUU